UGGGGAAUAGUCUAGUGGUAGGACAGUGGACUCUGGAUCCAUGAGGGAAGGUUCGAAUCCUUCUUCCCCAGCCA
This 74-nucleotide transfer RNA is filed under the name Chloroflexota bacterium. RNAcentral describes it as "Chloroflexi bacterium (sediment metagenome) tRNA-Gln". It matches the Rfam family "tRNA". Rfam says of the family: Transfer RNA (tRNA) molecules are approximately 80 nucleotides in length. Their secondary structure includes four short double-helical elements and three loops (D, anti-codon, and T loops). Further hydrogen bonds mediate the characteristic L-shaped molecular structure. tRNAs have two regions of fundamental functional importance: the anti-codon, which is responsible for specific mRNA codon recognition, and the 3' end, to which the tRNAs corresponding amino acid is attached (by aminoacyl-tRNA synthetases). tRNAs cope with the degeneracy of the genetic code in two manners: having more than one tRNA (with a specific anti-codon) for a particular amino acid; and 'wobble' base-pairing, i.e. permitting non-standard base-pairing at the 3rd anti-codon position. The record is from RNAcentral. Lineage: Bacteria; Bacillati; Chloroflexota.